UCUGUAGCUGUUUUCUCAUUUGUCAGUUCCAAAAGGAAUUGAAAACUGGAGGUUUCUGCCUAGUUUCCUUCCUCAUUCUCACAGCCUUGGUUAUUGUCUCCACCAACUCGGUUCAUUGACCUACAAAUGCCAGCUUCUCUUGAAUGUUUUCCAUCUCUUUCCCAGACCAUCCACAGCUGGCAGCCAAGCUUUGCAAGUUUUAUUUCCGAAAUGCUUCUCAACUUCUUUCUAGGUACAGAAGACCACCUGCACCAUCUCUUGCUGGGUGAGAGCUACUCUCUGCAGACGUAGUCACAGCUGGUAUUUCACCAGCAGAUGCCAUGAUUCAAUUCCACCAUAAUGACAUUGGGUAGUCUUUGUCAACUCUCCUCCUUGUGAGGAGGAUGUAAAAACACUUCAGAAACAUACUGGAAAUCUUCAUGAGUAGAUUAAAAACUACAGAAAGAGAAAAAAGGAGUAAAAAGUCGGAGAACAAGACAAGAAACUGUUAGAAUACUAAAGAAGAUGUAGUAUUCUCCCGCACAGUCUGGACUCCAGCACUGCCAUUUUCUGACCUACUUCCAAUCACUGCUGAGCCAAGCUGGAUCAGUUACAAUUCUGAGGCUGUCCAGCAUCACCCUUCUGCUCUGAUUUGUAGCUGAAGCUCAAAGCUGUCUUUCAUCUCUGCUACCUUACUCUGUGCAUGCAAAAGAGGAGAAGAUUGCUCCAGAGAAUCGGCAACUCACCCAAGGGCAAAUAAAUGCUUUGUGGAAGUUUUCAGCCUCUGUGCGAAUCUUGCAAUUAUAGAGCUGAACUCAAGAUAGAAGAUGGAUUUCUUUUCCUUUAUUCCAAAUCUUACUGAGAAAUCUAGGUAAUAUUAUGCAAAUUGCUUAGGAUAAAAGACAACUUGAAAGCCAGUGGUUUGGGAGAGGGUAUAGCCAGGGAAAGUGCUGGUAUUAGAGAGAGUGAUUGAUCGGGACCAAGUCCUCUGAAGUGUUCUAAGGCAGUCAAACCCAUCACUCUCCCUUUUAGUGCUUUCAAAUAUCCAGUCACUGGGUCUCAGCAAUUUGGGUAUUUUCAAAUACUUGUCAUGGAAACCUAUGUUUUGCAGAAAAGGCCACAGAGAGAAAAAUUCAUUCUUUCAUACAGCAAAUACUUACAAUAUUCAAAAACAAAAAUUAUGAUUCCAUAUAGGAACUAUGAAGUAGGUUAGUAGUCAAAUGUUGUCACAACGUGGAAUAUAGGGUAGUAAGAGUUAGCUCAUGUGAGUCAGCUGGCAGAACUAGGCUGUCAUUAUGAACAGAUAGGCAUAAUGCCACAGCCAAAGGCAAGGCAGGGCGAAUGUGUAGAGUGUGUUUAACAGAUCUAUAGAUCAGAGGAAACUGAGUAACUCUGAGAAAGCACAUAGCAUAAUCAGAGGAUCCAGUUAGAAAGAAUGCCCUAACAGGUUUGCAUCAGGAUUGCAGGAGCAGGGAAACCAGAGGCUGAGACAGCUCCAAGAUGGAUAGAAUCCACAGAGAUAGCCAUGGUGCUUCAGUCUGAGUUUUAAGACCCUCCUAGAAUAUUGGUCACUCCAUUAGGCUGAGCAUCAGUGUCUCCUUCUGAGGCUUCUAUAACUGCAGACCCUUGGACUUUCUCCUGAAACUCCUGAUUCAGAAAGUCUAUGAUAAAGCCUAAGGAGCUACACUUUGAAAAUCAAACUCUCCAAAUAAUUCUGAAGUUCAGCCGUGUGCAGGUGUACUGGUGUGGACCAAGUGUUCAUUGUUCACAUUGCUGUUCGAGGAAUGGACUCACACUGCCCUAUUAGAUUAAUGUCUUCUCAUUUGUCUAUAUUAGAGCACAGAUUGAAGAACCAUGUUUUAAACUCUGCCUUUAGAUGCUAACAAAUAGUUGUCCUGAAAAGAUGGUGUUUCAUCAGACUAUCGUGGCUUUCUUCUUUGAUAUUUUAUUAUGUGGAGACACUACAAAUUGAUCAGCUAAGUGAGGGACUAAGGUGUUGGUUAUAUAUGAUCAAUCAUAUGAAAAUAAUGAAGUGAAAGACAAGGGCACUUGGAGGCUGGUGGAGGAUGGGAAGCUCAGUGACUACUUCCGUUCUUUACCGCAGCUGCUAAACUAGCUCUUCUCUCCUUGGUGUUUCCACACUCUGUACAUCACAGCUCCUUUGACACAUGCACGGUAUUUGUAUGGUCUCCCUCUUCUCCCCCCUCAUGUAAACACACACAUUGGAUGGUAAGCCAGCAAUUGUGACUAGUUUUUCUGUCUUUCUAGAACUGGGUAUAUUGCCUGAUAUACUGAAAUGUUUUAGCCAAUCAGAAAUGUUACAUGAAUAAUAAAAUGCAGCAUGUGAGCAAUGUAGCUGGCUUUCCUAUUAAUGCUUUAUUCAUGGUAGUUUUUAAAAAUUGAGAUGCUGUGAUGACACA
This 2399-nucleotide long non-coding RNA is filed under the name Homo sapiens (human). RNAcentral's name for it is "HSALNT0122529". The record is from RNAcentral. Lineage: Eukaryota; Metazoa; Chordata; Mammalia; Primates; Hominidae.